UUGAACGCUGGCGGCAUGCCUUACACAUGCAAGUCGAACGGUAGAGGGGCAACCCUUGAGAGUGGCGAACGGGUGAGUAAUGCAUCGGAACGUGCCCAGUCGUGGGGGAUAACGCAGCGAAAGCUGUGCUAAUACCGCAUGUGAUCUGUGGAUGAAAGCAGGGGACCGCAAGGCCUUGUGCGAUUGGAGCGGCCGAUGUCAGACUAGCUAGUUGGUAGGGUAAAAGCCUACCAAGGCGACGAUCUGUAGCUG
RNAcentral lists this ribosomal RNA (252 nucleotides) under uncultured bacterium. RNAcentral's name for it is "partial 16S ribosomal RNA". It matches the Rfam family "Bacterial small subunit ribosomal RNA", at positions 30 to 289 of the family's 1533-position model. The record is from RNAcentral.